This 253-nucleotide ribosomal RNA is filed under the name uncultured bacterium. RNAcentral describes it as "partial 16S ribosomal RNA". It matches the Rfam family "Bacterial small subunit ribosomal RNA", at positions 524 to 776 of the family's 1533-position model. The record is from RNAcentral.
UACAGAGGGGGCAAGCGUUGUCCGGAAUUACUGGGCGUACAGCGCGCGCAGGCGGACCGCCACGUGCCGUGUGACAAGCCACUGCUCAACAGUGGAGGGCCAGGGUACACGAGCGGUCUGGAGGCAGGGAGAGGGAUGUGGAAUGCCCGGUGGAGCGGUGAAAUGCGUAGAGAUCGGGCGGAACACCAGCGGCGAAGGCGGCAUCCUGGUCCUGUACUGACGCUGAGGCGCGAGAGCGUGGGGAGCGAACUGG